Molecule: long non-coding RNA, 451 nt
Organism: Oncorhynchus tshawytscha (Chinook salmon)
Lineage: Eukaryota; Metazoa; Chordata; Actinopteri; Salmoniformes; Salmonidae
Source: Ensembl
AGGAGAAUGAAGACAGGCCCCGAGGAGAAUAAAGACAGGCCCCGAGGAGAAUGAGGGCAGGCCCUGAGGAGAAUGAGGACAGGUCCCGAGGAGAAUAAAGACAGGCCCCGAGGAGAAUGAAGACAGGCCCUGAGGAGAAUGAAGACAGGCCCCGAGGAGAAUGAAGACAAGCCCUGAGGAGAAUGAAGACAGGCCCCGAGGAGAAUGAAGACAGGCCCUGAGGAGAAUGAGGACAGGCCCCGAGGAGAAUAAAGACAGGCCCCGAGGAGAAUGAAGACAGGCCCCGAGGAGAAUGAAGACAGGCCCCGAGGAGAAUGAAGACAGGCCCCGAGGAGAAUGAAGACAGGCCCAGAGGAGAAUAAAGACAGGCCCCGAGGAGAAUAAAGACAGGCCCCGAGGAGAAUGAAGACAGGCCCCGAGGAGAAUAAAGACAGGCCCCGAGGAGAAUAAA